GGGGAUGAUCGGUUUCGACGGAAAAGUACUUUGAAAAACUGCAAGCAGACUUUGAUCCUAGAGGUCUUGAUUAGGAUCAAAAUAAAAGUGAGACUAAAAACAGUUUCGCUUCGUUUUUAGCAUCUGCUAAUCCAUUCGCCGCAAGGCCAAUGGCCUACGCAAUCGCUUAAGACGAUGUCUUUAGAUUUGUUUCUUACUCGAAUCUAAUAGGCAUAAACCAAGUAGGAUAGAUAGUCGGUCUUUGAUUAGAGGCUGAUGAUUCGAAAAUAAUUAAUCUUACCUUUAAAGAAUUUGUUAGUUUAUAACUUUGAAGGAAAAUUUUUAAAUUAAAUAAGCUUGUAGUAGUUUUUCUUUUAUUAUUUUUUCGGACGAGGGUUCGAUUCCCUCCAUCUCCACAA
RNAcentral lists this transfer-messenger RNA (398 nucleotides) under Minisyncoccia. RNAcentral describes it as "WO2-35-19 sp001823925 Standard tmRNA". It matches the Rfam family "transfer-messenger RNA". Rfam says of the family: Bacterial tmRNA, also known as 10Sa RNA or SsrA, is named for its dual tRNA and mRNA-like properties. Its role is to liberate the mRNA from a stalled ribosome. Lineage: Bacteria; Bacillati; Minisyncoccota. The record is from RNAcentral.